This 694-nucleotide ribosomal RNA is filed under the name uncultured bacterium. RNAcentral's name for it is "bacterial SSU rRNA". It matches the Rfam family "Bacterial small subunit ribosomal RNA", at positions 60 to 772 of the family's 1533-position model. The record is from RNAcentral.
AGUCUAUGAGGAAUUNNGCUUGCUAAUGGACUCAUGGCGGACGGGUGAGUAACGCGUAAAGAACUUGCCCUUUAGACUGGGAUAACAGAGGGAAACUUCUGAUAAUACUGGAUAAGUUAGUAUAUCGCAUGAUAUGCAAAUGAAAGCUACGGCACUAAAGGAGAGCUUUGCGUCCUAUUAGCUAGUUGGUAAGGUAAGAGCUUACCAAGGCGAUGAUAGGUAGCCGGCCUGAGAGGGUGGACGGCCACAAGGGGACUGAGAUACGGCCCUUACUCCUACGGGAGGCAGCAGUGGGGAAUAUUGGACAAUGGAGGGAACUCUGAUCCAGCAAUUCUGUGUGUGUGAAGAAGGUUUUAGGACUGUAAAACACUUUUAGUAGGGAAGAAAAAAAUGACGGUACCUACAGAAGAAGCAACGGCUAAAUACGUGCCAGCAGCCGCGGUAAUACGUAUGUUGCGAGCGUUAUCCGGAAUUAUUGGGCUUAAAGGGCAUCUAGGCGGUAAGACAAGUUGAAGGUGAAAACCUGUGGCUCAACCAUAGGCUUGCCUACAAAACUGUUGAACUAGAGUACUGGAAAGGUGGGUGGAACUACACGAGUAGAGGUGAAUUUCGUAGAUAUGUGUAGGAAUGCCGAUGAUGAAGAUAACUCACUGGACAGAAACUGACGCUGAAGUGCGAAAGCUAGGGGAGCAAA